AGUGAACGCUGGCGGUAAGCCUAACACAUGCCAGUCGAACGGCAGCACAGUAAGAGCUUGCUCUUACGGGUGGCGAGUGGCGGACGGGUGAGGAAUACAUCGGAAUCUACUUUUUCGUGGGGGAUAACGUAGGGAAACUUACGCUAAUACCGCAUACGACCUACGGGUGAAAGCAGGGGAUCUUCGGACCUUGCGCGAUUGAAUGAGCCGAUGUCGGAUUAGCUAGUUGGCGGGGUAAAGGCCCACCAAGGCGACGAUCCGUAGCUGGUCUGAGAGGAUGAUCAGCCACACUGGAACUGAGACACGGUCCAGACUCCUACGGGAGGCAGCAGUGGGGAAUAUUGGACAAUGGGCGCAAGCCUGAUCCAGCCAUACCGCGUGGGUGAAGAAGGCCUUCGGGUUGUAAAGCCCUUUUGUUGGGAAAGAAAAGCAGCAGGUUAAUACCCCGCUGUUCUGACGGUACCCAAAGAAUAAGCACCGGCUAACUUCGUG
Molecule: ribosomal RNA, 492 nt
Filed under: uncultured bacterium
Lineage: Bacteria
Description: partial 16S ribosomal RNA
Rfam family: Bacterial small subunit ribosomal RNA
Source: RNAcentral